RNAcentral lists this ribosomal RNA (29 nucleotides) under Globisporangium minor. RNAcentral's name for it is "Pythium minus partial 28S ribosomal RNA". The record is from RNAcentral. Lineage: Eukaryota; Oomycota; Peronosporomycetes; Pythiales; Pythiaceae.
UGGACCUAUAUCUGACAGAAGAAUACUAC